Long non-coding RNA from Pongo pygmaeus (Bornean orangutan), 10575 nucleotides. RefSeq lists it as uncharacterized. Lineage: Eukaryota; Metazoa; Chordata; Mammalia; Primates; Hominidae. The record is from RefSeq and is a predicted model, not a curated record. The transcript has 3 exons.
UUAAAAUUUAUUUAGUGUGUUAUUGAGGAUUGUAUUUUGGAAAAUUGUCCAGAGAUACGUUUUGUUAGACUGUUUAAAUGCAGCUUAAAUUAUAGUUUUUAUGUAGGGAGUGAAGAUCCAGUAUGUAUAAAAUUAUAUUAAAAUUUGGGCCUAAGAGUAUAUUUGGUUAUAGUUUGUGGGAACAUAAUUGUUGAUCUUGGCAGGCAUGAUUUUAUGUGUAAGAACAGGUAAGGACCAAGUUCAUUUAUUUUUUAAGGAAUGUAAUAUCUUAGGCAAGAGAUGUGGGGAGCUGUGUGCUCUAUCUUGUUUAUGUCUUUAAGGCAUUAUUUUGGAGAUCCAUACUUAGUAACAGAAUCAGGGGGACUAAAAUUAUGAUGGCAAGUAAACAUGACUUCUUAUAUUUGUUAUUUUUUGUCAAAUAUUUGGCAAAAACAAAAGGAGUUUUACUGAGAACAUGAAGAAUUAAGUGAGAGAUUGUGUAUCUCCAUUUGUCAAAGAAUCCUGAAACAUGUUCUAGGACAUGCUUCAUUCAUCCUUAUGCUAAUUAUGAUAUUAAGAAGAGGGAAGGAGCCGGGCAUGGCGGCUCAUGCCUGUAAUCUCAGCACUUUGGAAGGCUGAGGUGGGUAGAUUGCCGGAGGUCAGGAGUUCAAGACCAACCUGGCCAAUAUGGUGAAACCCCAUCUCUACUAAAAGUACAAAAAUUAGCUGGACAUGGUGGUGUGCACCUGUAAUCCCAGCUACUUGGGAGGCUGAGGCAGGAGAAUUGCAUGAACUUGGGAGGCAGAAGUUGCAGUGAGCUGAGACUGCACCAUUGCACUCCAGUCUGGGCGACAAGAGUGAAACUUCGUCUCAAAAAUAGAUAAAUAAAUAAAACGAAUUAAGAUUCUUUAUUCUUAAGAAACUGUUAGGCGUAACUAGAUAAUACAUCAAAGUAUACCGAGUUCAUUAGACAAUGUUAUUUUGAUAAGGAAUACUCUACAGUUUCUGAAAGAAAAAUGGUUAUCCAUUUGUUUUUCUUAGCAUUUUAGUGCUCGCUAUGUGCUAUACCACAAGUUAGGUUGCGAUGAUGUAAAAAUCAAUUGUAUGUGCAUUUCCACAAGGAGAUUGGAUUUAUAUUUGUGAAUAGGAUUGAUGGGGAAUGUAUCCCUAGCAAAUGGGCUUUGAUUUGAGGGAAGCAGAUAUGGGUACAACUGAUUGUAUGGGUAAAAUGUAAUGGGAGGAUAGAGAAAGGACACUGUUAGUUGGGUAAUUGUUAAUGGAGAUAGUGGUACUUAAGCUGGAAGCGCAGUUAGAAUUUUGAAGACUAGAUCAGGUCAGAAAUGAUGAGGCUCAGAAUUAGGGUUGUGGCAGUGAAAAGUGAGAACGGGGCAGACAGAUGUUGCAGAAUGAGGUCAAAAGGACUUGAUGAUUCCAUUGGAAUCAUCUCUGAUACCAUGUUGUCUGUUUUAAGAAAUGCAUGGAAGCUCAUCAUUAAUAGCAAGAACUUCUACAUUUUUUCCCCUUGAACUCCUAUUUUUAUUAGACUUUCUUCCUUAGAAGUUUAUCCUAAAGUAAUGUAUUCAAUGAUACAAAGUAAUUGUGUUUCUCUACAGCAAAAUAAGUAUAUAUGUUGAAGUUAUUGUUGAUGAAACAAAAAUAUAUCACACAUUUUGAUAAAGGUAAUAAAACAUUUAAAUUUUAUUGAAAAUUAGGUUCUGAGAAAGGGUUUCAGUUUUUAAAAAAUUUAGUUAUCAAUGGAUAGAUGUUAUUCCUAAUGAAUUCAGCAUCAAUUUAGUCCUCUUUCUCAAUUAUAUAUGUGUAGACACCAAGGAACUUUUUCACAAUCAAAUGUUAAUUGCAAUUAUUUUAGUGAUACUCAGAGAUACUCAGUUUUUUGAAUUUUUAAAAAGUUCAUUAUAUGCCCCAAAAAAAUCAUAGAUCUCUGUCUCAAAAUUAUUAGAUCCUUCUUUGUAUUUUUUGAAACAGUCUGACUUAUAUAAGGAUUUAUUACCCAGCUGUUAGAAUCAUUCAUUUUUUAAUUUCUGAAAGUAUGCCAGAAAAUGAUUACUGGCUUGAUGAGGAGAAAAAUCUGUAAAGCUCUUGUUGCAUAUAUUGUCAAAUUGCUUUUUAGGAAAGUCAUACUAAUUUAUACUUCCAUCAAUGGCAGUUGAGUGAUAAUCUCAAUGUCUUCUCACCAUCAUUUUCUUUAAUAUUCAUUAAUUUCAUGGGUGAAGAAAUGACAUUUUGCUGUUUUAAUUUGCAUUUCAUGGAUAACUAAUGAGGCUAAUAAUGUCUCAUAUGUUUGUUAGUGAAUUCAUAAAACCAGGAGAGAUAUCUUUUUAUAUUAUUUGUUUCUCUGUUACAGUACUAGUUAUAUAUACUCUAUGUACUCUAUAACAAAUAUAUAAACUGUAUAUUUAGGACCGUUAGAUUUAUCAUAUUUGCACAUUGAAUGAGUAUAUAUAAUAGAGAAUAGAAAAGUUAUAGAAGAGCACCUGGCCCGCAGUAAAUAAUGUAUAAGUCAACCAAACUCAGAAGCAUUGUUAUUACAAUGAUAAAUAUUUCUUCCAAUUUGACUUUAAAUGUUUUUAUUUUAACAUAAUGCUGCCUUUUUUUUUUUUUGCCUUGGUGUUCCAGAGUUCUUCUGAGCUGAGAGAUUGUUAUUCAAUAAAGAAGGUGUUAUGAACUGUUUUUAUUUUCCCAAUAUUCAUUUGUUAAUUUGGGGAUGAGGGCUUUGGGAGAUAAUUAGGGUUAGGUGAGGUUAUAAGGGUGGGUCUCUUAGGACUAGUGGCUUUUCUUUUUAAUAUGCAAGAUUUCAUCAUGAAUUAGUGGCCUUAUGAUGGGACGAAAGAGAGAUCUCCCUUCUUCUUAAUGUGUAUGCAUCAAGGAAGAAAGGUAAAGUAAGAAGGCAGCUGUCUGCAAGCCAGGGAAAGAGUCCUCAGCAAGAACUGAAUUAUCCAGCACCUUUAUCUCAUGCUUCCUAGUCUCCACAACUGUGAGGAUCAAUUUCUGUUUAAAUUAUCCAUUUGGCCUUCUGUUAUGGUAGCCUGAGAUGAUUACUAUAGAAGACUUCCUUAGAAAUUAUGAACUAUUUGUCCUUGGAAAGUUGGUAUAGUUACAAAUAAUGUUGAUCCUCAUCCUCUCCUUGAACAUGUUGAUUUAUGUACAGGAAUUACUUGGUGAAUAGAAUUUUCUUUUAGCCAUUUUUAACUUGAGAUUUCAUAUCAGUUUUUUCCCUAAGAAAUUAAAUGAUAUUUAAAAAUGGUCUAUUUAUGUCAAAAUAUAUACACAUAAACUUAUGGACACAUGAGUGAUAGUCAAAUUUCAAUCACUAAUGUGGCAUGAGCACUGACCCACCAGAAUGGCCGCGGUAAUUCACCACAGAGCGGUAUUGCAUCAUCCUGAGUGAGAGUGAAGAAGCAUUUAGGUAGAGGGAAACUGAUAGAUGUGUUUGAGAUUUUAAAAUUAUUUCUCAAACUUUUACACCAAAAUAUAUCCUGGUACACAUGCAACUGCUAUGGCUCUGUCAGAGUCGUUUAGUUAGGAAACUACCCACAGAAGAAAAUAAGGAAAAUGAAUUCUGUAGGUAGAGAAAUGUAAUGACUAAGAUUUUAAAUGUUAUGACCAAGAUACAUGUUUAGUGGAUAAAAAUUAAUAAAAAUAAUAAAAAUAAAUUAAGAAACUUUCCUUCCUAGGGCAGCAUAAGAUCAUUUCAGAAUGAAGAUGCUUUGGGAUCUGACUUUGGACUGUAAGAAUGAUCAAACUCUGAAUGGGUGCAAAGGUAGCGGAUGACCUUCAAAGGAUGGUGAGAUUAAAGUUACCUACACCUAGAGAAAUAAUUGGAGUACAUGUCUAUUUGGGCCAAGAGGAUAAAGGCCAGUAGAGGAAUCAGAUCAAAGAACUUCCUCGGGAAGUGUGCAGAGAACUGGAGUGGACCUUCUCCUAGGAAGCGGCCCAAAAGGAGAGUGCUGGAAAGCUGGCCGCAGUGAGGCGCUUCAGAUCCCAAGGGUAUGCUGGGGAAGCUGCCACAGGUGGGAGCACUUGCUGCUGGCCCCUAGGCACUGUUGAAACAACUGCACCCUCUGCAGGAGCCCAACAAGGUGAGUACAGCAGAACAAGAGAAAACACUCUUUCCUUCAGUGCUCCUCCACUGACAGAGCUGAACAUUGGGCCAGCUGGUGAUGGGAAGGUAUUUACAGAAUUCAGCUCCAUGGAAAGAAAGGAGGAUUUGGAGCUGAGAGGCAAUAAAUCAAUAACAUGUGCUGUGCUCUAGAUGCCUCCCCACCACCUCUCAUUUCCCAAAUGCCCAUGACCUUGUGCUCCUUGCUUUCUGGAGAAAUUCUACUUAAACUAAAACAUUUGCCGUAUGGUGCCCUCUUUUGUGCUUAAAGCCUACUAUGAGACUCAAAGUCUUUUAAUGAAGCAAAAGACCUAGUGCACAGCAUAACAUGCCCUGCACGUAAAAUAAUUACAGCUCUGUGCCAGGUGUCAUUACAUUGGACAAGUUCUCGCAACAGUUCAUAGAGAUUGAUCUGAGGCUCUGGUAGAGAACGGUAAGAAAGCAAUUUAGAAAAGCAAUAAUAAAAUGGAUCGUGGCAACCCAAGUCUAUUCACUGAGAAUUACCUUAAAUAUAUUUGCCAUUUUAGUUUUCUGGAGUGUUUCCUUUGUAAUCACAUGAAACCCUAAGGAACUUUAUUUUCUUUAUCCAGGCUUUCAAAUUACAUCUGCAGAAGACAAGGCAAAUAGUUAUUUAGGUCAGCAUAGUUUUCAUCUGUAUUUAUUUUCCGUGUAUAUUACUUAAUAAACAACAUAAAUGAAAAGGCACUUAGUCUUAACACAGAAAAACUGAAAUCUGUCUUUUUAAAUCUAAUUCUAGUCAAUUAAAAUCAAACCAGAAUUUAUACUUCUUCACUAUCUUGGGGCAGAGACUGAGACUUUGGUAGAUUUGCUGAUUUGUUGUUUGCUGAGCUAAAGAUCUUUCCUCCAACACCCCGCUCCAACAUACUCACAUAUUCAUGAAACACAACAGCGAUCCUGUACAAGAAAUCACCAUCCUGGGCAAUCAUUACCCUGACAAGAAAUCAGCACAUGCAGACGUUUGCUACCAAGGGAGGGCUGCACAGCUCAGGCACUGCUCAGCUAAGCCCCCUAGGAAAGACAUUGCAGAGGCUUUGUCAGGGCUGCAGCUGACAGCUACAUGGGAAUUGGGAUUCACUGACUUGCCCAGCCUCCUUGCUUUCUCUAUUCCUGAAGAGGAUGAAGAAGACAAUCCAGAAUCAAGGAAGAAGAAGCAAUUUCCUCUUUGCUUAAGAGGGAUUUUGGCUAGCAUCUUUCAAACAUGAAAUAGGACCCAUGAAGGAGCUUUUCAAAACAAUCAGCAUAUAGUGAAUCACAAAUGCUAAUCUUUAGCAUUUUAAAGUAUGAUACAUUUUCUGCUACAUGUAUUUUACAAACAAAAAACAAGAAACAAAGUGUAGGUAACAACAACAACGACAACAGCAAAAGGAUUAUGGUGAUUGCCAAGCAGUUAAUUAUUUUGUUAUUUUCUGGAUUUUAUGAUAUUUGUGGUGUUGUCAGCAUUUUAAUAUCUAUAAUAAUGUCUCAUCGUAAAUAUUCACUUUAUUGAAAGAACAUAUGGGUUAAGCACCACCAGAAAACCAAGAAACAGAUUUUCCUUCUAUGAAUAAGUCAAUAAAAAAUGAAGAUACAAAGAAGGGGAAAUAUGGAAUGUGGAAGGGAGCUUUUGGAGGCAUGGCAGAAACAUUAACACGAGUGAAGAUCCCCCAAAAGAGAACUCUGAUAGGUUUAUAGACUUUUUUUCUUUAAGGGAGUUAUAUAAGGGGAAAUACAAUCAAUUCUAGGGUUUAAAUAUACACACAGAGGACUUUACAGUUUUGAGAAAAAAAUCACUUAAUAAAAGAAUCAAGUCUUUUAUACCUGUUAGACUCAUCAUCUCUAGGGAGAUCAUUCAUUUAACCAAGACUAUAGUCAGAGAUAGCCAAUGGGAUAACAUGAUAUCCCUCAAGAGCUUUUGAGAGAUUAGUAAUAUGAUGCCAUAUCCCUUAUCAAAUAAUAUUUUGCUAGGAAUUAGAGUGUGCUGAGUUUUUAAAAGAUCAUUGUGCGAAAGAAUUUGAAAUUAUUAUUAUGAUUAUUACUAUUAUUAUUUAGCACAGAAUGACAGAAUGGUUUCAGGGACUAAUAAUCAGCCAAAUAACUCUUACAAUUGCUUGUUACAAACAUUCCCAGGCUGAUAGUGGCCAAAACCCAUUCUGAUUGGACAGUUGUACAAUAGACUACUGUAUUUAUGUUUCCCUAGACUUAAGCCUGAAACAGGAAGAAUUUUCUGCCUUAGCAGCCACCUCUCCCCAUCCUUAAGUCUUCUCUUCCGUAAUUGUUUGCUUUCUCUAGCUACCUCUUAAUUUUUGUUGUUUACUGAAGUCCCGCUGUGCUAUCAUUACAUGUGCCAUGAAACUUCAUCACUUAGCAGAGUUGGUGAUAGCAUACCCUAUACCAGGAGGGGGUACAGAAUCAGAAAUCUGUUGAAUCAGCUUCUCCUACUGCAUAAACUGCUCCUCCAAAGGGAGUUAGGCUCAUUGGGAGCCUUUAAUAAUCCAGGCCACUGGGGUACCACUUCAUAAAUUACUAUUUCUUCAUGAUAAGCUUUUCUCUUCAGUUGCAAUUUCCUUGGCUGCUAGUGGUGGCUGCUUGCAAUAUCCAAAAAAAAGUGAGAAAGUGGGGCAAUGAUAGGGAAAUAAUAGAAGCAGGAUCCAGAGCUUGAAAUAGUUUUAGAACAGCACUGCUGACUGUAAAACAGUCAGCUCUACUGAGUGGAGUAAUGUUAGAUGUUUUAUCCAUCCAUCCAUCUGUUCACCCAGAUGGUAGAAUAAAUAUUCCAAAAAAAACCUUGGAUAUUAUGUGGGGAAAGUUGUAAGAUUAAAUGUAAAAGGGAUACAUAUAAUCCCUAAAUUUAGGUGUAAAAAAUUAAUCAUACAAUUACAGAACGGAGGAUUCCUAUGUUGAGUACUUGUGUCCACGUGUGAAAAAUAACAGGUGAUUAAAAACAUCAGCCAAUAGCUGCAAGAAAACUCUGCAAUCAUGUAAACAGAAUUAGAAUGUCAAUCUCAAUUGUAUAAGAGUUAUUAUUUUUUUAAUGAUGUUUGGCUCACAUCAGGCCAUUUGGUUCUGAACACCACAUUCAAGAGGAGCAUUGUACACUGGAAUUUGCAAACUGAAACUGGAAGAUAGAAGUUUAUUUCUCUCUCCAGUCAUAAAGCUGUUGGAAAGUGAUACUGGGAGCUGCUAGUGACCAUCUUUCCAGUUCUAUGUGUGUUUGUGUUGGUGAGUGGUAUCAACUUCUACCUCUAUCCAUAGAAAAAUAACAAUAUUUAUCCUCCUAAAUCUGCUAUUUCCUGAAUGAGCAAAUUAUCUUACAUCUGUUUUCAACAAGGGGAUGGGAUUUUAAUACUAGUGCAGAGAUGGUGUCAAAACUGCAGGCCCUAUGUAUGACAAAGUAUCAGAUCUGGGCUGUAUUCAUAAAGAUAAACAGAAAAGUGCUCCAUGGAGAUGCCUUCAUAAGCCAGGACACAUGUAAGACUGUCAUCAUAAUUAGCAUACAAUCAAAAGCUACAAAACACCAAGGCAGUCUACCACGCUGUGAUUGUCUGCCCCUGUAAUGAUUGGAAGCAUUCCAAUGACUGGAAUUACAGAUAAUAGAGCAACUUAGGAUAAAUUAAGAUAUCAGUAUCUUUAAAAUGUUUAGAAUAUAUGAAGAAUGAACUGAAUAAUAGACAUUAUUUUAUGAAAAUUAUAGGAAGGCGUGAAAAAGAAAAAACAAUUUCAGAGAUUAAAAAAAGUCAUUGAAGUGAAAAAGUCAAUAGAUGGGCUAAAUGGUAGACUAACUUCAUUGAAAAGAGAAUUAAUGAAAUGCAAAAUAGAAUUGAAGAAAUAAGAAUACAGCAGAAAGAAAUAAACAGGAAAUAUACAGAGACUGAUUUACCGGAUUUAUAAUGAAGUAAUGAUGCUUAAGCUCUAGGGCCCUCAAUUGCAUAGACCCUUCAGCAUAUGCUCCUCCUAAGCAGUGUGUUUAUACUGUUAUAUGUUGCUAAACAAAUUUGCAAAGUGAGAUUUUUAACUGCAAUUGAUGAAGACUGCAGAAAUUUUUCAUUCUGCUUGGCUUCUGUCAUACUUUUCUUAUGUUAGAUAGCAUUCAAGAGUCCAUGCACAUUUUUUGACCAAUGAUGACUUGUGGCACUAAAAAAAACUGUCAAUAAUAACCAAGCUAGAGGAGAGAUUAAAUAUUUUUCAUUCCCUCAAUUGAAAAAUAUAUUACAUAAUUAUUGUCACAGGAAAAUAUGCACCCAAAAAAGAAGAAGAAUAAAACUAUUAUGGAGGUAUUCCAGUAGUUAAUAUACAUAUUACAAUAUUUUUCUGGAGUUUAUUAUGUUUGUAGAAUUUGUUUGUUUUGUUUCAAUUUACAAUUUGUGUGAUUUACUUCUCAUUCUAAAGAAAUAUGUACUUCAUAUCUAAUUUUCUACUCGUACUUUUGUAUUCUUUCCCAGAUCUUUUCUGGGAGUCUAAGUUUAAAGACUCCCAGAUUGUCUAAACUGCAGGUCCCAAAAAACCUGGAUCUGUCUCGGGAAGUAUGAAAGACAGGUUGACACAUGGAAGAUAAAAUGAGAAGCUCCAAUUUAAGUUAACUAAGAUUCAAAUGAGAAUAAAAAAAUUUGGAAGAGACAAUAUUUAAAGAGAUAUGUUAGAAAAUUUUCUCAAAUUGCAAGACUUAAAUCUUAAGUUGAAAAAAGUACAUUAAGUUCUGAAUAGUGCAAAACCAAAAUCUUCACCUAAAUACAUCGUAAGGAAAUUACAGAUUAUCAUAAACAAAGAGAAACUCUUAAAAACUACCAAAGAAAGAAAACCUAUAAAGAUACUAAUCAAAAUAAAAGUAGGCUUUUUAUUAGCGUUAAUUGAUGUAGAAAGACAAUGUAAUCGUAUCAUCAAAUGCUGAAGGAAAAUGUCCACCUAGAAUUUUAUACCCAAAACAAUCACUCAAGAUUAAGAGCUGAACAAACAUAUUUUCUGACACAAACCAAGAAGUUCACCCUCACUAAAUGAGUUAUUUAUCUAAUUCCUGAGCAAAACAAAACAAAACAAAAAACAAACAAAAUAAGCCAGAUGGAAGGCGUGGAAUUCAAGAAAGGAUAGUAAGCAAAAAAAGGAAUUAAACCAAAAUAAGUAUUGUCCACAAAAACAAGCAAGCAAACAAACAAAAACCCAAAACCAAGAAACCCCAGCAACAACCAAUUAAUAAUAUAAGAUUUGACACUCCCUGUGUCCUGAAGCACUCUCCUCUCUUAGCUUUCUUGGCAUCACAUUUUCCUAAAAUCUCAUUGCCUGCUCCUUCUCAUUCUCCUUCAUUGCCAUCACCUUCAAGUUCAACCUCUGAAUGUGGUAGUUCUGUUACUGGUAGAAGGUGUCCAGGUUCUUGGUGUUUUGAACAAAGAAUUAGACAAAAUGCAUAAACCAACAAAAGAAAAACACAGAUUUAUUGAAACAGAAGUACACUCCACAGAGCAGGAGUGGGCUCCAGCAAGCGGCUCAAGACAGCCUGUUACAGAAUUUUCUGGGGUUUAAAUACCCUCUAGAAGUUUCCCAUUGGUUACUUGGUUUACACCCUAUGUAAAUGAAGUAGUGGCCUGCAACCAGUCUGAUAGGUUGUAGAAGGUGACCAAUCAGAGGCUGAAGUGAAGUUACAACGUUACACAUGAAGACUUGGCCUAUGACCAGUCUGAUUGGUUGCAGGAAGGGACCAAUCAGAGGUACUUUAAUUUUUCAUCUGCAAGGCAGAAAAAAGGUCGGGGGGUGGGUUGCAAAGGGAGUAAGCCCUGAUUCUUUUGUUACUUGGGUGUGCAAAGGUGAGGUUUUCCUUUUCAUUCAGUUUUAAGUAGUCAGAGUGAAUCAGCCUGGGUUCCCUGCCUCCAGACCCUGUUCUCCUGCCACAGUUUCUCAAACCUGGUCCUGGAACCGUCUGUUUUUCUCCCUCUCCCUAGAAGGUUAAUAUGGUUUGGCUCCGUGUCCCCACCCAAAUCUCACCUUGAAUUAUAAUAAUCCCCAUGUGUCAUGGGAGGGACCAGGUGGAGGUAAUUGGAUCAUGGGGGCAGUUUCCCCCAUGCUGUUUUCGUGAUAAUGAGUGAGUCUCGUGAGAAUCUGAUGGUUUUAUAAGUGUCUGACAUUUCCCCUGCUUGCACUCAUUCUCUCUCCUGCUGCCCUGGGAAGAGGUGCCUUCAGCCAUGAUUAUAAGUUUCCUGAGGCCUCCCCAGCGAUAAGAAACUGUGAGUUGGCUGGACGCGGUGGCUCACGCCUGUAAUCCCAGCACUUUGGGAGGCCGAGGCGGGUGGAUCAUGAGGUCAGGAGUUCAAGACCAGCCUGGCCAAGAUGGUGAAACCCCGUCUCUACUAAAAAUACAAAAGUUACAGCGCGCCUGUAAUCCCAGCUACUCGGGAUGCUGAGGCAGGAGAAUCUCUUGAACCUGGGGGGUGGAGGUUGCAGCGAGCGAGAUCGCGCCACUGCACUCCAGCCUGGGUAACAGAGCGAGAUUA